CGCGUAGGCGGCUCGGUAAGUCUGGAGUGAAAGUCCUGCUUUUAAGGUGGGAAUUGCUUUGGAUACUGUCGGGCUUGAGUGCAGGAGAGGUUAGUGGAAUUCCCAGUGUAGCGGUGAAAUGCGUAGAGAUUAGGAGGAACACCAGUGGCGAAGGCGACUUUCUGGACUGUAACUGACACUGAGGCUCGAAAGCCAGGGUAGCAACG
Molecule: ribosomal RNA, 206 nt
Filed under: uncultured bacterium
Lineage: Bacteria
Description: partial 16S ribosomal RNA
Rfam family: Bacterial small subunit ribosomal RNA
Source: RNAcentral